Long non-coding RNA from Corapipo altera (White-ruffed manakin), 2458 nucleotides. RefSeq lists it as uncharacterized. The record is from RefSeq and is a predicted model, not a curated record. Lineage: Eukaryota; Metazoa; Chordata; Aves; Passeriformes; Pipridae. The transcript is spliced from 3 exons.
CCACUGAUGUUGGAAGAAUUAAUCAUUCAUAGAUCAACAAUUGGUUCUUUCAUCUCCCUGGCUUUCUCAGACCAAACCAUUAUGUAUUUUUUUCUACCUACUGAUCCUGUUACAGUCUAAUUUUUCAGCUGCAUGUAGCAAAGACAUCUGAAAAACACUGAUAUUUCCAGAAUGCAACUCACUGAAAGAAACCAAUGAGGGUACCUAUCUGCUUCUGUGGGCUUCACAACUUUACUAGUCUCAAGAACUGACUUAACAUAAAAUUCUGUACUAAAAUCACAAUCAGAUAAGCUAUGGAAAAAUGUGGAAGGCAAAUUGAAGUGCACCCAAGUCCGUCUUUCUGGCUUUCUACCAAGAGCAGUCCAUGUGAACUAAUCCAUAAGAUAGCUGACCUUUUACCAAGUAAAGUUUUAGGACUAAAUACUUCAGCUAAUCAAAAACUAAAUUACAUGUAUACAUUAACUCAACCCAUAUCUUUAAAAUUAAGCUGUAUUCUGGCUAGCCAAAACGGCAGCACAUUCAGUCACUACUAAACCAACAAGAAUACAGCUUUUUCAAUAUCACUGCAGAGAAAGAGAAGGAAAGGUGGCAUUUGCGAUUCCAGAGCGCUGCGCCUCAUCACGGCAGUAACAGGGAAGAAAAAGUCACUGGAAGAGAAGGUACAAAUCCAGUGCUUGCCAGAAAACAUCCUUUCAGCCUUGACACAAGUUGUCUGAAGCUCUGUCGAUGCCAACCCCAACCAUUGUGCCAUCAUCAGAGACAUUUGGAGGUUUCUGUGGUACAUUGCAGGGAGCUGCAGCUGCUGUUCAUAGGAAACACAUCCAGACGUAACAAGAAGCAGGGAUUGAACAAGAUAAGAUCUGCACUUGCAAGCAGCCAGAAAGCCACGCAUUACCCAUAUGAGGGAAGAUCACCCACACGGCACAGAUCUGCCAUGAGCAUUGGGAGGGGAGGAGGCAGUUCAGCCAAGUGUACCAUGGAUGCCCUUGCAUUGUGGAGAAAGGCACAAGCAAUUGGAUUUAACCAGCUGGGUGGAAUUUGAUUUGAUUAACUUUGGCACAGUUUCACAUACUCUCAAUUCAUCAGUGAAUGGAGUAACUAUAUUGGAAAGCUACUGGGGAAAAACAACAUUGCCCCUGAUGCUGCUGUCACGGGCAGAUAGAGCACAAUCCCAUACAGUCUCACUCUGUGUUUUUCUCUCUUCAUUGUCUCCCUGGUUAGUUUUUUUGUGCCAGUGUGUGUCUUCCUGUAUCAGGAUUGGCUGCCUUUUCUUAGUCUGAGAUCUUGGCAUGGAAAGAGCAGUAAUUACUCCAUGGUAUGACUCGAUGACUAUGAGCAAGGGUGGGAGUGCCCCCUCUUGAACAAUAAAACCCCUUGUAGAGAAAAGCCUAACUAAACAAAACAAAAUAAUGUGUAAAACCAGGCAGUGCUGCCACAAAGCUCUUUGCCAGCCAGAGAGUCUAUAUGGAGUAUGAAUAAGAGCCUACUGUGUUUUAUUCCGUUCUGCCUGUUAAAGAUCCCAUUCUAUAAAGAGGUAUCUGUUAGUCUGCUCUGAUUUCAUACAAGCCCAGGCAAAUAAAACUUCUUUAGUUUCAAUGAAGCUAGUCCUAAUUUACAGUAAGAAUGAGAACUGAACCAGCCCCAGCAAUUUGGGAUAGUAUGUUCAGACAAAACUUUUUUUCUCAAAUUCAUCUUCAGAAAAUAAAAUCACCCACUUUUAUUCAACUCUCAAUACCUAGCAAUUUUGAAAAUCAGUCAUGGCAGCUCACAGUUAGAAACAUUUAAGUGUAGUAUGAGCUUACAAGUCCUGUAAUAUAAGCUAAUAGAGGUUAAUAUGCAGAAGAUCAAAGUCUUUAGGAACACAGCUCACCAGAAAAGCACGUGUCUGUACAUACAUUUGCUCAGCUGUCUAUACGAAGAAGAGCAUCAGGGAAGUUUAUUGCUUUAUCCUACAGCUCCCCAGCAGACCAGCCUUUGUUUAAAGAAUAGAUUUGAAGAAAAGUUAAAGGUUUCAGAGACAGGGAAUCAAGAUAAAUAUGGUGAACUGUACAGACUCAUCUCAAGAACUUUUUCUGUGAAACAGUCUCACACUGAGUAAAGUUCUCCUAAGUAUUAACAUCUGUAUUGAGUGAAAAUACUUUCCUUGGUUAACUUUCAAAUCAAGAGGUGAAAUUAAAAAGUAAGAACAUUCUCAGUAUGAGAAUUAAAGCUCUUUAAGCAUCCAAGUUUUCAAUAGAGAAGUGUUCAGGCAUGAGUCUUUUUGAUUUUUAGCAAGGUACUACAACUGUAAAUAUGUAGGAAGUCAGAAUUGUAGAGAAGCCAAAAAUCACCCUUCUCCAGACAAAACCCCUGUGCAUAUGCCUGGAAAAUACAGAAAAUGGAAAUAUGGAUCUUAGAGGUAAACAGCCAAAAAUCAGUUAAUGUACUUAACAAAUGAACAACAGAUAUAUAAUUUUGA